UGGGGAAUUUUGGACAAUGGGCGAAAGCCUGAUCCAGCAAUGCCGCGUGUGUGAAGAAGGCCUUCGGGUUGUAAAGCACUUUUGUCCGGAAAGAAAUCCUUGGCUCUAAUACAGUCGGGGGAUGACGGUACCGGAAGAAUAAGCACCGGCUAACUACGUGCCAGCAGCCGCGGUAAUACGUAGGGUGCAAGCGUUAAUCGGAAUUACUGGGCGUAAAGCGUGCGCAGGCGGUUUGCUAAGACCGAUGUGAAAUCCCCGGGCUCAACCUGGGAACUGCAUUGGUGACUGGCAGGCUAGAGUAUGGCAGAGGGGGGUAGAAUUCCACGUGUAGCAGUGAAAUGCGUAGAGAUGUGGAGGAAUACCGAUGGCGAAGGCAGCCCCCUGGGCCAAUACUGACGCUCAUGCACGAAAGCGUGGGGAGCAAACAGGAUUAGGAUACCCUGGUAGUCCACGCCCUAAACGAUGUCAACUAGUUGUUGGGGAUUCAUUUCCUUAGUAACGUAGCUAACGCGUGAAGUUGACCGCCUGGGGAGUACGGUCGCAAGAUUAAAACUCAAAUGAAUUGACGGGGUCAUAGCUG
RNAcentral lists this ribosomal RNA (580 nucleotides) under uncultured bacterium. RNAcentral describes it as "partial 16S ribosomal RNA". It matches the Rfam family "Bacterial small subunit ribosomal RNA", at positions 355 to 932 of the family's 1533-position model. The record is from RNAcentral.